UUUUUUUUUUUUUUUUUUUUUUUUAGAAAAAGGUCUUUGUUUCUCUCUUUUCUUAAUAAUUGAGGCCACAGUGGAUUCCAGGCAUUAGUGGGGCUUUUAAACAGAUUAAGGGGAAAAAAAAAAGCGAUCCAAAGUCAUUUAUGCACUGCCAAUUUUAAUUACCGAUCUGCUUUUGUUUUUUGGAGUGACCCCGGAGCUUGCUUGCUUGCUUGCAACACAAACUGGUUCCCGUCGCCGUAGUAGUGGUCUACUUACUAUACUUGGAAGCUUUUCCAUUUCAUCAUUUUCAUGGCUGGCAGUUGGAUGUGGGUCUCGAGCCAUGCACCUUUAUAUAUAUAUAUAUACACACACACACACACACACACACACAUAGUCUUCCGCUGGCACUGGGUCUAGGAGUAGUUAUUAAGCUGAAUAUUAUGUUACAGUUGGAUUCCAUUCUCUGCAUUAUGCUUUCUUAAGUUCUAUGCGUGCAUCAUCGAUGUCCAAGGCAUGUAGGACCGCCCAGAUAUUUAUACCAUUUGCUUGGGUAUCAUCGAUCGUCCAUUCUUGCCCCGCCCCCAGAAGAACGAUGAUAUUUCAUUGUUUCCAAACGAUGGAUGUGCCUGAUUUGGUUGGAUGAGAAGAAAAACAAGACAGUACGCCAGGAUUUAGUUGCAUAUUCGGUCCUUAACAAAUAAUCAAUUGUAGGUUAGUUUAAUUGAAGUUAAAUGUGUUCUUGGUUUUCCUGCUUUACUUUUUUACUUUUAGUUUAUCUCGUCGCGAAAAAAAAAAAAAGAAGGAUUAGGUUGGGGUGGGUGGUGCAAUUUCUCAAUUCUAACAGGCAACAAAUGGACGGAUGCGAAGCACUUGUGACUUGACCAUAUGGAAUGGUUAUGCAAUUUAAGUACGUUUACGGGUGUAAAAUAUGAAGAAUUAACCGUCACAGGAGGACAGAGCAUUCUCAUCAUGUUAAGCUGGGGACCCAUCAUCACAUGGCUGGAUUUUGCAGGAAUCCGGGGCUACGAUCGGAUUGUCCCGGAGAAUUAUUCCCCCCCGGGCCGCGGGGGGUGGGUGGGGCGCUGCUCCUUUCUCUUCUCCGUUUGCUCUUUUCAGUUCUUGGCUGGCCUAUAAGAUGCAAAAGAAACGAGAAACCAGAGAAGCGAAAAUAAUUACUAAACUAAUUUUACUUCCAUCUUCUUCUCUUCGACUUUUGUCUUUUUGGUUCAAAAUAAAAGCCAAGAUACUGCAUCCACUGGCCACAAAAGCGAACGCUAACACAGAAAAAUCACGGCUCACUUUUUUUUUUUUUUUUGGUGCUAGCGGCAUACGUAUUCAAAGAACUAUAUAAAAGUAGGCUGAUAUUAUUUGAAAAGUACUCAUACAACAGCGCCGUUGCGUCUGAUACAGCGGCAUCCGCCGGCGCCGGCAGCCGCAAUUUUUGGCUCAGUCAACCUCCACACUUUACUUAUCUCAACACAUGUGGCCACGUUGUUACAGCUUUUCUUUUCCUUGCUCUCUUUGGUUGGGGAAUUCCCGCACUCACCCCAUCUACAUUAAUUAAGGUGUUAGCAUGUUUUUCUUUUUCCCCCUUAAUCAAACUGUGAAUAAUUCUCCUAAACGAGCCAGCUGAUUCGCCUUAAAUGGUUGCAACAAUCAUUUCGGAAUAAUUCCUCAACUUUCCAUGUGUCGAUGUAAUAAUAAUAUUAAUGUGUGCUGUAAUUGAUGAAAAGGAAAAAAAAAAAAAAACAACGCCUAAACAUGAGAAUCUUUUCCAAUUCUCAUCCUCGACUGUAUAAUUCCGAAGAUACAAAUUUCUUGGGUGGAAAUGUUUAAAUAAAAAAAGGUUAUCUUCAAGUCCCGGCUACAUAAUAUAUAUGGUUAGCUUUUAGUUCGAGAAGGUAAAACCCAAAUUCAUCUACUUAAGCCUUGUUUGAAUUGCUGUUCUUCGUCGAAAAAUUACGUCAUUUUUCGUAAUCACAUUUCUUUAUUAUCUUUUUUUUCUUACAUACAUCAAAUCGCUAUAAUAAUUUUUUUUUAUAAAAAAUCAUAAAAAAUAUAAUCUAAACACACCCUUAAUUAGCGAGGUCCCCGGGGCAACCAUCGGGACAGUCGUGUAAACCGGUUAAUAGCACUUGUUACGACGUCGAUUAUUAAAAGUAGUAGCAAGUAAAACGAAGAAAAAGAAAAAGUAAAGACAAAAGAGCGAUUGUGGGGAGCACUAGCGGAGCGUGAAACCGAGGGAACAUGUCGCCUUGAUUAGCGCAAGAAGUUUUGGCUUCUGGACGUUGUCGUUUUCCUAAUCACGCAAUGCUGCUGCUGUUAAACUUUCUUCUUCUGGAGAUCCCGUGGAAAAAGGUUUUGACCGUCUGUCUUCCACUCGCUGCUAAGUCGUUGAAUACACUCGCAGCUAAGUCGUUGAAUUAAUUGGUUAUUCUAAUCUUCUAUCAAAUGAAUACUUUAUCUUUUUGUUACAUGGCAAAAUAUAAUUUUAUUUAUUUGCAUGACUUUUAAGCAUUUUAUUUUCUCGUAAUAAUAAAUUUUAGCUUUAUUUUUUCAUCUACUUACUUUUUUUUUUGCCCUUUUUCACUUCCUUAAGAGUAAAGAUUAUAUGUAAAAAGUGCAUCUAAAACACCCUUGAACACACCCACCAAUCUAGCAUUGCCAUGUCAGCAAAAUCCCACUGAAGCUCUAUUUAAUGGAAUUUUUUAUUCUGCGUCCUUAAGCCGUAGGAUAAGCGUGUAAAAUAAAAGGGUUGAUCCAUUUUAAAUUUAAGUAUUAUCAUCCAUCCUCCACGUCAGAGUAGGAAACUUUAUUGAAAAAAAUGUAAACUUUUUCAAAUAACUAAAAUGACCUAUUUGAUAAUCCAAUUCAAUACUUAAAUUUAAUGGAUUCAUAUUUUAACAUAUUUAGACCGUUUGAUAGCAAAAAAUUGAACAUCUGAAUUAAUUAAAUAACACUGAAUUUCCUACCCUAAAUUAAGUGAUAAGUUAUUUGCUUAUUACUAAAUUUGAUAUGCACUCAAAUGCAUUAAAUUUAAUAUUUAACAAUUUAAUAAGUUAAUAAAUUCAGAUUUCAAAUUUAAAUUUUAUCAAACGCAACCUAAGACUUGUGCCCACCUCUCCUAAGGGGCACAUAAUAGAAGAACCCUUUUAUUAAUUCCUUUUCACACUUGUACUACACUAACUCUCUCAACGCUUGAAAUCAUCUGCCUAACUCUCUCUGCGCUUGGAAUCGUCUGUCUCAAAUUUUGUCUCUAUUCCAUCCUGUUCAAUUACCACGUGUAUUGAUUAAUAACUCUUAAAAUUCUAUUAUAGACAAAUCCAACAAUCAAUAAUUCUUAGAUUCUGUUAAAUGAUAAAUCCAACAGUACUCUACCGAUGAUGCCAGUUAUACAAAGACGGCGUGACAAAGAAAGACAAAAUGGAGGAGAGUUGAUUUGAAGCGCAUUUGUUUGUUUGAAGGUAGAGUGCUUCUGUUCUGUCUUGUGCGGGAGCAUUUGUUGGUGGAUCCUCUCACCUUGGGCCUUAUUUUUUUCAGGAACCCCAGUGUGGCCUGGUUUGGAUUUGAAGAAAGUGGGAAAUUUAAGUUUGGGCUGGAUUCCUAAAAACCCAUUUGCCAUUUGACACCAAUCAGGGCUCGAAAUUAUCGCCUAUGAACUCAAUCAAAUUUUUGGGCGUUGCGAAGGUAAUUUCAACUAAUUGUUCGUCAGUUUGAUCCUUCGCUGAAUUGGGUGUCUCUGUUUUUUUUAGGGAACCUUUUUCACUUUAAGCCAAUUUGUGGUCGGUAAGUACAAAUUUAUGAAUCCAUUUAUUGGUCUUUGGUGAGGGAUUUGCUUCAUAAAGUGUGGUUUUCAACGUUAAUAGAGGCAAAUUCAAGGGAUAAAUAAAAGAACAACACCGAUACCAGCCUUCAUUUUUUCUUUUUCUUUUUCUUUUUUUUUGGGUACAAACUACAAACCUGGCAUCGAUUAUUAUAAGUUGGACAAUGAGAAAUUAAUAUACUACUAGAGUACUGUAGUGGACCCCAGGCACACAUCGGCCCGGUCCGCGCACACGUCAUUCCGGCCCACGAGCUCGGACAGGAGGAAGCGGACUGUGGCACCAGGUCAGCCCGUAUGAGCGCCGUUUCCCUGGCCGAUGGGCCCGAUGGGCUGCGAGGUCCGCGCCUCCAAGUCGCCGCGCGGAGCCCUAGGAACCGUUUCCUCCCCCGAUAAGGACUCUUAGUCCUACCAGGAAACAAACACUGGAGGCUCUAUAAAUACCACGCAAAGGAAGAACACAAGGUACGCUAUUCAUAGUGCAAUCUCUACUCUUUUUACUCACGAACUCGUUCUGACUUGAUCGUCGGAGUUGCUCCAGGGGACUUAGCCCCGCAGCUCGUUCACGUGCAGGUCAGACGUCCAAGCAGCUCGUCCCGCCGAACCCAGCUCAGUUCGGAUCUUCACUUCGGCAGUCGCAUCAAUUGGCGCCGUCUGUGGGAAACGUUUUCUUCUCUUUUUUCGCGAACAACAUGCCGAAGACUAGGUCUCAGAGGAAUGUGGAUGGUACUGAGGGGGGCGCUCAGGGCGGCCCCCAACCAGUUCACCAGGAAGCCAACACAGGGGAGGCAAGGGUCGAGCUCUCGCAGAUCUCGCCGGAACAACUGGUGCAGUCGGUUGCCGCGAACCUGCCUACCUUUGAGGCUAUUGUGACGUACCUGAAGGGACAAUCUGGAGUCCCUCCCAGUCCGGAGCGUCGGGUGCGAAAAACGGGCAGAACAGGGAGUUCGGAAUCUCGAUCUGGAAGCCCCAGGUCGAAGAGGGCGCGAAGGGAGAUUACACGCGAGCAAGUCCAGGUGCCAGAGCCCUCUCACAAGAAUUCCCGAACUAGCCAUCCGGAGCCCGUUCUGAGGCCUUCUCGGAUGGAGAUCCCUCACAGGAAGGAGGAUUACCAGGUCCAGGAUGAACUGGACCUCCUGCUGGAUCCGGAGGCGGAUAGGUACACUGCCUCUCCCUUCAUACAUGAUAUCGAGGAUUACCCUCUACCUGCCAAGUUUAAAAUACCAUCCAUGAAGUCCUACGACGCGACCACUGAUCCGGAGGAUCACUUGUUCGCGUUCCUGACUCAGAUGCGCCUUCAGACAGCUGCUGAUGCGGUCAGGUGCAAGACCUUUCCGAUGUUCUUGGAAGGAAAGGCCCGACAAUGGUUUCAAGGCCUGCCUCCUAGGUCAGUUCGGUCGUUCAGCCAGCUCGCGCGGCUGUUCGCGGCCCAGUUCGUUUCCUCCCGCGCUUAUUCCAAAACCACGGCUCAUCUGAUGACUGUCCAUCAGGGGCCCGAGGAGUCAUUGCGUGAGUAUAUGGUACGGUUUAACAACGAAUCCCUUCAGGUGCGGGACCGAGAUGACAAGGUGGUGAUGGCUGCCUUCGUCAACGGGUUGCGCAAGCAGAAGUUGUAUACGGAAUUCGUAGAAAGACCUCCCAAGUCCGUCCGGGAGAUGCUAGAUCGAGCCCACGAGAAGGCGAACGCCGAGGAGGCCAACCGUCUGAAGGGCGCCCAGGAAAGGUUGCGGGAUGACAAGCGGAGUCACCGCGCCCAGGGCUCGGGUUCUGGCCGUGAUGGAACAGCAAGGGAUUUCUCGUCCUCCUCGGCCGCUGGAGGGCGACAAGACCCAGCGAGAUCAAGGUUUGUAUUGUGCUUACCACAGGAAUGUCGGACACGAUACUGAGGACUGUCGACACCUUAAGAAGGAGAUCGAAAAACUGAUACGAAGAGGUCAUUUCGGACAGUUCGUCCGUGACGGGCGAACGGACCAGAAGCCAGGAGGGUACAAGCGAGAUCGGACGGCCAGUUCGCACGACCGACCUCGAGGUCCUAGUGAUCGUACUCCGGAGCAGGGGGUUCAGAACCUAGCUGGAGUAAUCAACACUAUUGCAGGGGGACCUGCUGGAGGAGAUAGCCACACGGCUCGACGAAAUAACCGACCUCCCCCUAGCGGAGAAAGCUCGAGCAAACGUUUGAAGAUGUACGAGGAAAUCAUCUACGGGCCGGAGGACGCGGUACCCUUAGCCUCUAAUAAUCAUGAAGCGAUCGUGGUAGACGUUAUCACGUGCAACUAUAAGGUAAAGAAGGUGUAUAUCGAUAAUGGGAGUGCCAUCGAUGUGCUGUAUUACAAAACCUUCAAGGAAUUGCAGCUGGAAGACAAGCAGCUCAUCCCAGUUCGGACUCCCUUGAUAGGUUUUGCAGGUCCGCCGGUUAGACCAGAGGGAAUGAUAACCCUCAUGGUCACGGUAGGGGAGUCACCGAAGUGCCGAACUAUCCCGGUGAAUUUCGCGGUAUUAAAGGAGCCGUCUUCUUACAAUAUGAUACUAGGGCGACCAACCCUCAACGCUCUCCGAGCUGUCUGCUCGACCCUACACCUUAGCAUGAAAUUCCCGACGCCUGAGGGGGUGGCCGAGGUGUUGGGGGACCCGGAGGUAGCUCGGGCCUGUUACAUUGCAACACUCAAAGGUAAAGAGAAACUGGUAGCCCAAACGACCUGUCUAGAGCCCUGGGAGCCUGCUGAAAAGGAGGAAAGGUUGGAGACGGAUGAGAGUCUGAUCGAAUUGUCGAUCUACCCCGAGCGAACUGAUCGCGUGGUAAAAACCGGAGCUGGUCUGAGCGAGCUGACACGGAGAGCUCUGGAGUCUUUGCUGGAGGAAUAUGCCGAGAUUUUCGCGUGGAGCGCUGACGACAUGCCCGGAGUCCCUCCCGAGCUGGCAGUUCACAAGUUGCACGUUGACCCAAACAUCCGGCCAGUGAAGCAAAAGAAGAGGAACUUCGCUCCUGAGCGCAACGAGGUCGUCAAGGAAGAGGUAGGAAAGUUGUUGGAGGCCAAAAUUGUGAAGGAGAUCUACUAUCCGACCUGGCUGGCCAACCCUGUGCUGGUCAAAAAGGAGGACAGGGCCUGGAGGAUGUGCGUAGAUUUCACCGACCUGAACAAGGCCUGUCCGAAGGAUUGUUACCCCCUCCCUCGCAUCGACCAGCUAGUCGACUCGACCACUGGAUACGAGAUCUUCUGCUUUCUGGAUGCCUUCAAGGGGUAUCACCAGAUAGCUCUGGACGAGGCCGAUCAGGAGAAGACUGCCUUCAUCACCGAAUACGGUACGUAUUGUUAUAUCACUAUGCCAUUUGGAUUAAAAAAUGCAGGCGCGACCUAUCAACGGCUGGUCAACAAGCUGUUUAAAAACCAGAUCGGCCGAAAUAUGGAGGUGUACGUGGAAGACAUGCUGGUGAAAAGCCGAACUCAGGAGCAGUUCAUCAACGACCUAAGAGAAAUCUUUGACGUCCUACGGAGCUCGCGGAUGCGGCUGAACCCCAAGAAGUGCACCUUCGGGGUUAGGUCGGGCAAGUUCCUGGGGUACAUGAUAUCCAAGGACGGGGUAAGAGCUAAUCCCGACAAGGUGAAAGCUAUCAUGGACAUGGCUCCUCCCCGAAACGUAAAAGAGGUCCAGCGGCUAGCUGGCAGGAUGGCGGCCCUGAACAGGUUCCUGUCGAAGUCAGCCGUUCGGGGUUCCCCCUUCUUCAGGGCCCUGCGAAGAGGUCCCCAGUUCGAAUGGACUCCCGAGUGCCAGCGCGCGUUUGACGAGCUCAAAACCCACAUCGCACGCUUGCCAGCUUUGACCUCUCCCGCACAAGGAGAAGUCUUAUUCAUCUAACUAGCAGUUGGGGAGGAGGCGGUCAGUGCGGUACUAGUUCGGGAAGAAGGUAAAAUCCAGAAACCCAUAUACUAUGUCAGUCGAGCUUUGCAGGGGGCGGAGCAGAGGUACACCUCAAUUGAGCGGUAUAUUCUAGCAUUGGUGCACGCGACCCGGAAGCUCAGGUCGUACUUGCAAACUCACCCCGUGGUGGUCAUGACCGACCAACCUCUCAAGCAAAUUCUCUCAAAACCUGAUGCAUCAGGAAGAAUGAUAAGGUGGGCCGUGGAGCUGUCUGAAUACGAUCUCAGCUACCAACCCCGCACGGCCAUUAAGGCUCAAGCAUUGGCGGAUUUCAUAGCAGAAGGGAUCUCCUUCGGGCAAGAACAGUUGCAAGCCGAGCUAACCAGUGGCGCAAUCAAGGCUGUGCAGGCCAGAGGAACUGUCGAGGUAGCACAGGCCGCCGAGACCAAGUCGACCCAAGACGUAGCUGAGGCCAGGCAGGUCGGAGAAGCUGCCGAGGUCGUGAAAGGCACUCGGACUUCCAUGGCUGAACAGACCAUAGACGCAGUCGAGGCCAAGCAGGCCGAGGGACUUGCCGGGGUCGGACAGGCCACAAAGGAAGCCAAGGCCGAACAGGUCAAAGAGGCUGUUGAGGCUGAACAGGCCACGGGCCAGGUCGAUCAGACCAUCCCGACCUGGACACUGUUCGUGGAUGGAUCCUCAAGCAAGGACGGAUGCGGAGCGGGACUUCUCCUGACCAGCCCCUUUGGGGAUGAGUUGGCCUACGCCCUGAGAUUUGAUUUCAGAGCCUCCAACAAUGAGACCGAGUAUGAGACUCUGAUCGCGGGGAUGAUGAUAGCCCGGAAGCUGGGGGCUGAGUCAAUAGAAGUCUACAGCGACUCACAGCUGAUAGUCAACCAGGUCGGGGGAAGUUACGAAGUUAAAGAGGAGCCCUUGAGAAGGUACGUUGCCAAAGUACGUGAGCUGGAAACUCAGUUCAAAUUGUUCAUGCUCAAGCAGGUGCCGCGAAGCCAAAAUAAGAGGGCGGAUGCACUAUCCAAACUAGCCUCCACCUCGGUCGGCACGUUGAACAAAGAGGUCUUGGUUGAGGUCGUUCGAAGUCGGGCGUAUGACCAGGUAGAUGCGGCGGUCAUCCAAGUAAUAAGCUCGUGGAUGGAUCCCAUCGUGCGGUACCUCGCUAAUGGGGAGCUCCCUCCAAACCGGGUGGAGGCACGUAGGGUCCUCCACAGGUCGCGGGGAUACGAGCUCUCGAAUGGGGUACUCUACAAGAAAUCUUACCUGCGCCCCUGGCUGAGGUGUAUCACUCCGGAGGAAGGAAACUACAUCCUGCGGGAGCUGCACGAGGGCAUAUGUGGAAACCACGUCGGCCCAAGGGUUCUGGCCAAGAAGGGAAUGCUGUCUGGAUAUUACUGGCCGACCAUCUUCCUAGACUCAGCCGACCUGGUAGUUCGAUGCAAGUCCUGCCAGUUGCAUGCGCCGAUUCAUCACGCCCCAACUCAAGAGAUAAUCCCUCUUCAGAGCCCCUGGCCUUUCUUCCAGUGGGGGAUCGACCUGUUGGGCCCAUUUCCCCGAGCUCCAGGAGGUUAUGAGCAUAUAGUGGUGGCGGUGGAUUAUUUCACUAAAUGGGUGGAGGCUGAGCCCCUUACCACCAUUGGCAGCAGGUCGGUUCAGAAGUUCCUCUGGCGAAACAUCGUCUGCCGAUUUGGUAUACCCCAUGUUCUGGUCUCCGACAACGGGCGUCAGUUCGCCGACAGUGCGCUUCAAGGCUGGUGCUCGGAGCUCGGGAUCCGACAGCACUUUACUUCGGUAGGGCAUCCCCAAGCCAACGGGCAGGUCGAGAACGUUAACAGGACCAUCUUGCACGGUUUGAAGACGCGGAUUGAGCUCGCACGAACUGGAUGGCUGGACGAGCUGCCAACCAUACUGUGGGCAUAUCGAACCACUCCCCGAACUGCUACCCAAGAAACUCCCUUUGCCCUAACGUAUGGGGCAGAGGCGGUGAUCCCUGCGGAGAUCGGGGUCCCUUCGUGCAGGGUUCAGAAUUUCAUAGCUCAGGACAAUGAGGAAGAGCUACGCCUUAAUUUGGACCUGCUGGAGGUCAGGAGAGAGGAAGCGGCCAUACGUAUGGCCAAGUAUAAAGGGCAGAUCGCACGGCAUUACAAUGCUAGGGUGAGGCCUUUGUUUUUCAAGCCAGGGGACCUGGUUUUGAGGAGGAACAGUGUAAGUCGGCUUCAGGGCACAGGCAAGCUAGACCCAAAUUGGGAGGGUCCCUAUGUGGUGAAAGAAGCAGAUCGAGCUGGGUACUGCAAGUUAGUCCACCCCGGCGGGGAGGAGGUCCCUCGUACCUGGCACAACUCCAACUUGAGGAUUUUUCGUUAAGAUCGCGCACGAUAGCUCGAGACUUUUAUGAAUAUUGAUGUUUUUCGUUAAUAAGUUAUUUUGUUAUAGGUGAUAGCUCAUUUAGGUCGGCGAUGGGCCGAACUGAUGUAUCUUAAAAGUUAUGACAAGAAGUUUUACGAAUGCGGCUAAGUAUGAAACAAAGGAAAAGUUCUUCAUUUCAUUCAAGCAAAAGCUGUACAAUGGUCUGAGCUCUUACAAAACGAACUGUCUACUAGCAGUUCGAGCCCUAAAAAUUCUACUCCAGUCCCUCUAGUUCUCGCCCUCCUCCUCCUCUUGCUCAGAUUCGGGGGUGGUCACUGGCAGUAGAGGGUCAGCAACCAGAUCGGCCAGCCUCCGUCCAUGCGUGUAGCCUUCCACCAGGCGGUCGAGCUGUUGCACGGCCAGAGGGUUGUAGCUGGGGAACUUGCUCAGGUCAAACCCAGGCAGACUCAGCCUUUGCACUUCAUCCAGGGCUUGAGAAUACCCAUGAUGCAGCACGGGAGUAUUCAGGAUGGCCAGGUCGCCCCUAAAAUCCUCCGACCUGAGGAAGGCCCGCACGCCUUCUUGGGCUCCCUCAGUCCUAGCCGCCUCGACCUGGGCAGACAGCUCGGCGCUCCUCUUCUGCUCCCCAUGCAGCUGGGAGGUCAGGUCGGAGUUCUUCUUUAGCUCCAGUUCAAAGUUAGAGUGAGCCUGGGCGAGCUGCUUCCUCAGACCUUCAGCUUCUGCCACAGCUGCUUCGUUCUGGCUGAGCAGUUUCUCGUUGGCUGCCUUGGUCUCAUUCAUCAGGGGCAGCAGACUCCCAUAACGCUGGGCCAACUCGGACCCGACCACGUUCACUUGAGUCGUGCCCGUGUAGUAAUAGUCGAGGAGGUCGGAGGAGCCCAUGGCCUUGACCAAGUUGUGAUCACGGGGAAGGAUGGCCCCAUGAACGAGCUCCCGGCCACCUCGGGAAAUUGAGUUCGAUCGUUUAUGGAGAGCUUCCACUGGGGGCAGAAGUGCAUGGGGUGUGGAUGCGUGACCAGCCGAGUUUGGGGGUCAAAGAGCAGGGUGGAGCUCUGGCGUUGCCACAGAUUGGGAGGAGCUUCAGCUCGGGCCUGCUCCUCGGCGGUAUUCACCCCAUAGUGGCCGCCCGGACCGGGCUCCGGGGUCGACCCCUCCUCCUGACCUGGGGAUGAGGUCGCGUCCACCCUAGCCCUCUUGGCAGUCGUUUUCUUUUUCUUUUUCUUCUCAGCCUCAACAGGCUUAGAGGACUGGGCAGGAGCUGGCUGAUGUGGCGGAACUGGUGCUGAGCUGGUUGGGAUAGCCGAGGAAGGCUGCGUGGUGGCGCCCUGACUGCUGGCACCUCCAAUGGUCAGAAGGGAAGAAAAUCUCUUCACUACAAAAACAGAAGAUCGGGAGGUCAGUAGAUGUAUAAAUAAAGAAGGGGAAAGAAGAGGAAGGCCGGGUCGUUUACAGGAGGUCAGUUCGUCUGGUGAGAGUGGCCUAGUCUCUAGCGAGGGAUCUGAGGGGUUAGCUCGGAUCAGCCCCGCCGCCCAAAGCUGGGCAUUGCUGAAUUCUUUCACUUCCAGCUUCUCGUCUGAGCUGAGUAGGCGGCUGAGCUCGGCUAUGGGGAGCGGGUCUGGAAGCGGAUCCGAAACCUGAGUCUCCGCCCUCCAGGUCAGAGGGGGAAAGCCCAGGUUCUUCACAAAAAAGAAGUAAUGCUUCCAGUCUUUGAUGGAGGAAGGUGCCCCCGUGAACAGCUCGCGGGUGGGGGUUUUUGCUCCACUUCUGCGGGCAAAGUAGAACCACCCAGGCACCUUUCCGCUGACCUUCAUCUGGAAGAAGGCCUGGAACAGGUCAUGAGAAAAGGGAAUUUCUAGGGCUCGGCAGAGGAUGAAGAAGCCUAUGAUGGAACGAACACCAUUGGGUAUGACCUGAGUUAUUCGGAUACCCCAAAAGGUGAGGAUGGAGAAGAAAAAAUCAGGGAUAGGCAGGCGAAGACCAGCUAUCAGCUGGUCCCUGUAGAUCGCCACGAACCCUGGAGGAGGUCGGCUGGCGACCUCUCCUGGGAGGGCUGCCCUGGAUUCAAAGAGGGCCGGGAUUUCGUACUUUUCGACUAGCGAGUCCACAUCUUUUUGUUUCAGGGCUGGGGAGAUGGUAUCGACUUCCCCGAAGCCGCCACUAGGUCUCCCCGAGGUCCCUGCUGCCGUCUGAGCCGGAACUGCUUGUACAGCAGCUCCGACCAGAGGCUGGGCGAGUGGGUUAGCCGGACUCAUUGCUCUAAUAGGAGACGAGGCAGGAGAACCUGCGAGCUCAGGUCCGGAAGAAGUAGAAGGAGAAGAGCUAGAGGGGUCUGAGGGGCUGCUAUCUAUGUUUAUGGGACUAGCCGCUCUAUGCCUAGGGGCUGAACUGGUGACGUCAGAACUAUCGGAACUGUAUGAAGACAUAAAAAAGAAAGGGAACUUACUAGUGAGAGGAGAUCGGAUGAAAGGCUGAUCUAAGGAUUGCGCGACCUGACCCUGGGCUUCCUAAGACUGGGCGACCCGACGUGCUCUCGGAGGGAAGAAGAUGAAGCAGCGAGCUAAGGAUUGAGAGGGUGAACUGACAGAGUGAAGGAAGAGGCGUGAAAAUGACACCCAAAGAGUCCUAUUUAUAGGCAAGCCAGGAAGCGGGAAAGUGAAGAGACGUGCAUUUAUUGAGCCGUUAUGGGGAACCGAUCCUAACCAUCGUAGCUGGCGGACGUGACGAUCGAGGUGACUGAUGCGAACCGACGCGACGGUUGUGUGCACCACUCUCUGACAGGGGCCCCACACCGAGCUACCACGACGCACGAUCCGGAUGUUUGACAUGAACCAACGCGACGGUUGCGUGUACCACUUACAGGCGAGGGUCCUACACCGAGCUGACACGACGCCAAAAAGUCGGCUAGACUCACGCGCACGUUCGAUGACUCUAGACUAAAGGGGGGGCUAGUGUAGUGGGCCCCAGGCACACAUCGGCCCGGUCCGCGCACACGUCAUUCCGGCCCACGAGCUCGGACAGGAGGAAGCGGACUGUGGCACCAGGUCAGCCCGCAUGAGCGCCGUUUCCCUGGCCGAUGGGCUGCGAGGUCCGCGCCUCCAAGUCGCCGCGCGGAGCCCUAGGAACCGUUUCCUCCCCCGAUAAGGACUCUUAGUCCUACCAGGAAACAAACACUGGAGGCUCUAUAAAUACCACGCAAAGGAAGAACACAAGGUACGCUAUUCAUAGUGCAAUCUCUACUCUUUUUACUCACGAACUCGUUCUGACUUGAUCGUCGGAGUUGCUCCAGGGGACUUAGCCCCGCAGCUCGUUCACGUGCAGGUCAGACGUCCAAGCAGCUCGUCCCGCCGAACCCAGCUCAGUUCGAAUCUUCGCUUCGGCAGUCGCAUCGAGUACUAUUUUGCCUUUUGAAUUGGGGACGAGUGAUGACAGGUAAAAAGCAAAACUUGUGCGCUGAGUUGAGCCCACCAAGCAUGUGAUCGCGACCUGUCAAACGUCAGACGAGUACAGCAGCAAGAAAUCUUGAGAACCUGUUCGGUGACUUUCUUGUCCGUGACCCAAAGUAUCCGCAACACUAGAAAGGAAAGACAAGGUUCACAAAAUUCAUCAUCAUCAUCACCUGAUCUGAGCCUUCGGAAAUUCAUUCAAUUACGGGUCUAUUGCACUCUGCACGCAGGAACUUAUUCUCUUCACUCUUCUUCAUCCUCCUAUAUUAAUUCACCCCACAAAGAAAGAGCCAAAAAGAUCAGACUCGAAAUAUGGUGAAGGACAGGAAAAUAGGGGUGGCAAUCGACUUCUCAAAGAGCAGUAAGCUGGCACUGCAAUGGGCUAUCGAAAAUUUGGCUGAUAAAGGUGACACCUUCUUCGUCAUCCAUGUGAACUCUCAUCAUCUGGACGAGUCUCGCAAUCAGCUUUGGUCCCAAUCUGGUUCACGUAGGUUUAUCUAGUCCUGACAUCAUCAAACUCUGUUCUAAUAAAUCUAGCCGAUCGAUGAUACGUAUAUUUCUCGGAAUCUCUAUGAUCUGUUUAAAUCAAAUCUGACGUGGGAUUACCUGUUCAUCUCAGCUCUUAUUCCAUUAGUUGAGUUCCGGGAGCCGGAGGUGAUGAAACAAUAUGGAGUCAAGACCGAUAUUGAAGUUCUUGACAUGCUUGACACUGCUGCCCGGCAGAAAGAGGUUUGGUUUUCGAUAUUUCUGCUACGAGGUCUUUUUGCUUGUUGCCUUCUUUAAAUACUGUACGACUUCUAAUUUUGUGUGCAGAUAAUCAUCGUCUGGAAAUUAUACUGGGGAGAUGCCAGAGAGAAGCUUUGCCAGGCUGUUGAAGAUUUGAAGCUGGAUUCUGUGGUGAUGGGUAGCAGGGGAUUGAGCUCCAUCCGAAGGUCGUUUCCCAUUUCUCUGCCUUUUCCGGUUUCCCUUUCGAUUUGUCUUGCUCCUCGUGUUCGUUGGUUUUUUGUCCCGCGUUUGAUGUGAUUUCUUUUUCAUACCCAGGAUAAUAUUGGGAAGCGUGACAGACUAUUUGCUUGCCAACGCGACCUGCCCCGUUACUGUGGUAAAGGAUCCAGAUCUUCACAGGCAUUGAUUUCAGAAGCGUUAAUGAGAAAAUCGCUUACUUUGCGUUUAUAGUUUGGUAAAUCACCUAUGAGGAUUCAUCAACUACCAGAAACUUAUUCAGCUUUUUAUGAUACUUGGGUUGUGGUUUUCAGUUGUUACUGUGGACUGUUGGCAACAAUAAUACUCCGUAUGAUACUUUCUUAUGCCUAAUUGAAUCUCCAUCCAGUCAGCUUCAGCGUAAAUGCCUAAUUGAACCUCUAAUUUUCUCGGAUUGAUUAACUUCACACAAGGUACCUUGGGAUCAUCUGGACUCUAUUUCCAUACCCUACUGAAUUAUCUCGCAGCCAGAAUGCUAUGGCAUUGGCAAUCACUGAGGUCUUUUGCUCCUCACUUUUGUUCCGGCAAGCUUUACACGGGGCAGGCAAGCACUGAACGUAAGCUACACCAUUGGUUGGGUUUUUUUUUUUUGGGGGCCGUACUUCUAGUUUUAUGUGGCUCAAUCAUUUAUAGAUUCAAAAGAAACCAGGAAUUUGAACGAAGGAUAAUUGAUUUCAGCUUAUGAUCGGAAGAGAUGAGGAAUAGAUGACUGACCCAACAUUAGGAAAUAUCAAGAAUGAAACCAAAAACUUACCUUCUCGUGUCUAUGAAGUCAGCCCAGAAUCAUGUCAUAAUUCUUGAGUAGGUUUCAUUGUUGCACUUGAGAAACAGCGGACUCGUAGUCGACGGAUCUUCCAUUGUGUAUUUCUAUUUGACGCCUUUAAUUUUAAGUUUCAGAGCAAACUCAACUCUCUGAGAACAUGGGAUAGCCCAGUAACCGCGAUCUUUGCAGCUCUUGACAAUUGAGUUCUUACUUCUUACCUCUGCUGCUUUGCAUUUCCUUGGUCGAUCGUGUUUCUGUUCUGGCUGCUUGUCUUUUUUUAAUAUCGGAUCUAGCCAAGCAUUGACGAGAUAAUACUACGAGUGCAUUUGUUUCAGAUCAGCUUUUAUUAAUCUGUAGUAUAUGCUUAAUAGGGCAACAAGAACUUCAUCACAAAGCUCUUAAUGCUAGCGAAGUACCAAGGUGACAAGAAUGAUGAAAGUGAAACUGAAGAAAAGGGAAUGCUUAUUUAAAGCACAUAAUAAUUAUUUAGGAGUCGAUCUGGGCCAUCAUCAAUUAUGCGGACCGAAAGCAGUUUGAUGUCGGAAGGCAGAGAGUCCUCUAUAUAGGGUAGCUGCAGCUGACCAACACUUCCGCCCAAUUCCAUAAGUUGGGAAAACCUUUCUUUGGUCAGCAAGUUUAUUCCCAGAAAUUCUUGAGUCACUCUGAGCCAACAUGCGAUUAAACUGGAUGCAAUAGCAAAACUUAUACAUCUCAUACAGGAAGGAAAAGAGAACCCAAUGGGAUCAAAUUUGGAUUUCAACGUGGAACUUAAAUUGAUGGGACAUGCUCAAAAAUCAACAUUUAUUUAUUUAAAAAAUUUUUUUUUAAGGUAAAAGGUCCUCCUAAUGGAGAGAAUUACUGUAAAUUAUUAACCAAUACUCGCGGACAGGUAAUAUUUACAGCCUCCUUCAUUCAUCCGUAGAGCAAGUCAAAUAUGAUGAUCUCAUACAUGGGUGCUGAUUUUGUUUUUAUCACAUGGAGCGAGAAAUACUUGCAAGCCCCCACAAGGUGAAAUUAGAAACCCCAAUAUACGAGGGGAUAAAAACUUGCAUGAAAAUUGAAACUCCUGCAAAUUACACGGUUCAACUUUUAUUAGUACACCAAUACGAGGAAGGGAAGGCUGCAUGAUUGAACAAGGAAAGCAAAAGAUCGGCGACUUUUGUUUGGUUCAUGAUCUAGUGGUGGAGAGAAAGUUCAUUUAGCAGCCGCCGGGGGGUGGAAUUGAAGCUGCAGACGAGACUGGAAAGAGGAAACUAGAGUUUUCCCCAUGUAAGCAGGGGGAAAGUUGGCUAUUAGCUUGUCUUGUGGAGGCAGACAUUUCUUGACGGGGCUACAAUUAGCGAAGUUUUCGGCCCAUUCCCACAGCUUUGGAAAAUUGUCUUCGGUGAAGACAUCUAAUUUGAGGGCUUCUUGGAUGGUCCUAAACGAAAAGCCGAUGAAAUUGGCCACAAUGUCCACCAUCCCAAUGCUAUCUCCUCCGAAGAAUCUCUUGCCCCCAAGCUCGUUUUCUAGAACUUUCAGGCGUUCAAGGGCUUCUGCCUUAUUCUGCUCAUAUUGCUCGCUCGUGCUCCAAAUGGUCUUCCAUAGCGCGGGAAAGCACUGUCGUAAACAAAACAUAUUAAGCCAAUAUGAAACAUUAAGAGAAUUUCAGUGCUCCAAAGAUUCGAUACCAUGAAUUGGUGACACUGAAAACUUUUACCUUCUGGUCGACAAAAUUGGCCCAGAAACGUGCCCUGGCUUUUUCAAAUGGAUCUUCAGGCAAUAUUGGAUUAUUCUUCCAGGUCUCAUCAAUGUAUUCAAGAAUCACCAUGGAUUCGACAAUGGGUUUCCCGUUGUGAAGCAGAACCGGAAUUUUUUUGUAAACAGGGUUGUACUGCAGAAGCUGAGGACUUUUGUUGGUAAGAUCUUCCUCUAUGUAUUCAUACUGGAUGCCUUUAAUAUUAAGAGCGAUCUCAACACUGCGACAAAAUGGGCUUACCCAAUAACCAAACAGCUUCACUUCCUCCAUCUUCGAUCCACGGGAACUCAUGAAUUACUGAGCUUCAGAGUUUGCCUCCAGUGGUUAUAGUAAGGCUGUACAGUUUUCAAUGGUCUUGAUCGGUCACCUGGCAUUGCAAUUUCUUAUAUAGGGGAACAUCACGAGAAUUUUCAAAAGCACCAAGGAAAAAAAGAGACUAAUUGUAGCAUUCUCAUUUCAGCCACCAAUAAAAAAGAAAUAGAGAAAGAAAGAAAGAAAUUCUCAUUUUCGACCAUUGUGCCUUUGCAGACAAAGUCCUGCAAAAGCAUAUUAGUUGCACAUGUAAGUACAUGAUUAGACAAAGUGUGCUGUCCAUAUACUGUUGAUUACGUCUCCACAAAUACGCAGUUGCAUUCGCAUGCUGUCCAUUUUUUAUAUGUCGGUUUUAUUGUUAAAAUUUUAUUUUGUUAAUUUGUACAAUAUUGCAAUUUUGCUUUCUGAGAAGACGACAAAAUUGUGGUCAGAACGUCCAGAAAUUGGAUUUAGGGAUAAUUUCAGAAACCUCCCCUGAGGUUUUUGACAAUUUCACUGAGCUCCCCUGAAGUUUGAAAAAUUAUACAUAUCUCCCUUGAUUUGAUAGUUUUAGCAACAAAAUUUUAAAAUAAUAUUGAUUUGGUCAAAUUUUAAAUGAAGACCCAAAACUGCCCUUAUGUAAGGAGUUUUAAUUUAUUUCUCUAUAGAAUUAUAAGAUUAUCAAUUUAGAUUCAUAAGAUAGAAAAUAAAAUGUUGAAAUAAUUGAUUCAGAGUUUAUGAAGUUUUUGAAUAGUGGGAUUAUCAUAAUUUAGUAGCGAUUUUGAACAAUUUCUUUUGAUUUAUUGUUAAUUUCAAUACCAAAAAAUAGAAAAUAAAGAUUAGCAAAAAAAUUGAAUUACGUAUAAAGUUAACUCAUCCAAAAAAAAAUCACUAGUACAAUAUUUGAUUACAAUAUAAAUUAGAGAUAAUUGCAGUAAUUUUACAAUUUUAUUGGCAAAAAAUUAAAAUAAAAAGGAAUAAGAAGGAAAAAGAAUGAAAAAAAUAAUUUUAAAGUCAUUCUAAGUAUAAGCAUACCAAACACAAGGGAAUUUUAUUAAAAUAUUUAAGGGUAGUAUUAUCAUUUUAAAUAAUAAGGGAGGUAUGUGUAAUUUUGCAAACCUCAAGGAAGCUCAGUGAAAUUGUCAGAAAUUUUAGGGGAGAUUUCUGAAAUUAUCUCUUGAAUUUGUAGUUCCAGCUAGGGGUGUGCAUCGAAUUCGAAAUCGGUAAUUCGGAAGUUUGAAUUCGGAAUAUUUCGAAAUUUUGGUAUCUGAUAAUUCGACCGAAUUCGAUUUCGAAUUCACCAAUUCCGAAUUCGAAUUCAUAUCGAAUUCAAUUCAGAAUUCGGUAAAUUCCGAUUUCACCGAAUUCGGAAAAAAUUAUAUAUUAUUAUAUAAUAUAUAAUUCAUAAUAUAAUAUAAUAUAAAUUUUAUAUAAUAUUAUAUUAUAUAAAUUUUGUAUUACAUGUAUUAAAAAAUAUAUAUAUUAAAAACGAAUUUGAAAUUGAAAUCGGAAUUCGAAUUCCGAUUUAAAAAACUCUAUUAUCGAAUUCGAACCAAAUUUGAAAUAUAUGAAUUCGGAAAACCUAAAUUCGAUUCCGAUUUUCGAUUGACCGAUUUCGAAAAUUUCGAAUUCAAUUCGAAUUUGAUCGAUAAAUCGAAAUUUUUCGAUUUUGCACACUCCUAGUUCCAGUUGAGAGCCUUAACGAUGACGUUUUGGUCUUUAAAGGUUGUUUUAUAAACUCACACGGAAAGCUGGCUUAAGAUAAUGACAGGGACGGGCCGCAUGAAAUGCGAUCCCAGGAGGAAGACUUGAAUCGAAUUUCCUUCAUUUCUAUUCUUUUUUGAUAAGUGAAUUUAUAUAGAUCCCACGAAUAAUCAAUUUAAAACAACUCACUCAUACGAUAAAUGGAUGUGAAUUUAUAUGGUCAUUCAUCUCAAGUCAUUAAAUUUUGUUUAGUCAUCCAAAUUCAUUUAUGCUGGGUUUGUUUGGAUCAUUGGAUGGAUAAAUGGAUGUGAAUUCAUUUUGCUACCUCUAACUCUUCUUACCUUUGAAAUGAUUAGAUGCCUGAUUAAUCUUUUUAUACUGUUACGAAGUUACUACUAUAAUCUUCUCAUUCAGCAGCUUCGUCAUUGUUUUUUCCCUUUAUCAGAAAGUGAAAGUUCAUCAACUCUUUUAUUUUUUGGAUAAAAUAGAGGUCAAUAUUAUUAAUAAAUUAAUUGCAGAUCACUCGGCACGAUUUAUUUAACAAAAAAUUUCUAAUACAUAGAUCUCAAAUAACUACUCCAUUAGAUAUGAGAAAAAAAAUAACAAAAAGUGAAAAAACUGAACAAAACUCACAUUAGGAUAGCUUAUGAAGAAGAAAACACUCAGCAGUAAACGAUGGGAGAGAGAAAACUCUCAUUGGGGUAAGAAUUUAUUAAACAUGAACCAAAAAAAAAAAAAAGAGAAAAGGAAGGAAGCCUUGGUUUGAGGGAAGGCUGAGAGUAUAGAGGAAGAGACAGCCGGUGGGUAGAGCUCUUGAUCUACUGAACGGUGAGCAGCAGAAGUUUAUUUAGCAGCCGGUGGGUAGAGCUCUUGAUCUACUGAACGGUGAGCAGCAGGAGUUUAUUUAGCAGCGGCAGCAGCUGCCAGACGAGAUUGAAAGAAGGCAACCAGAUGCUGUCCCAUGUAAGGAGGAGGGAAAAUGGCAAUUAGUUUGUCUUUUGGGGGAAGAAACUGGUUGAUAUCACUACAAUUAACGUAGUUUUCAGCCCAUUCCCAAAGCUUUGGGAAGUUGUCCUUGGUGAGGACAUCUAAUCCUAGAGCUUCUUGAAUUGUCCUAAACCAAAAUGCCAUGAAAUUGGCAACAAUGUCCACCAGCCCAAUGCUAUCUCCACCAAAGAACUUCUUCCCCUGGAGUUCAUCUUCGAGAAAUUUCAGGACCUCACCAGCUUCUGCCUUGUCUUUGUCAUAUUGCUCGCCAACGCUCCAGAAGGUUUUGAAAAGGGCAGGCAAGCACUGCAAUAUUGCAAAUACAAAUGCAUUCAUACUGUGCGUAUCGAUUGAAUAUGAAGAUGAUGAAGUAAAGAAUGCCGGCUAGUAGAAACUCGGUGAUUAAAAGGUUCUUCAAUAUCUGAACUGUACCUUUUCUUCGACAUAAUUGGCCCAGAAACGUGCCUUGGCUUUCUCAUGAGGGUUUUGGGGCAGGAUUGGAUUAGUCUUCCAGACCUCGUCAAUAUAUUCAAGAAUCACCAAAGACUCGGCAAUGGGUUUGCCAUUGUGAAGCAGCACAGGGAUUUUUUUGUGCACAGGGUUGUAUUGCAGAAGCUGAGGACUUUUGUUGGAUGGAUCUUCUGCUAUGAAAUCGUAGUGGACUCCUUUAAGUUUCAGGGCUAUCUCCACUCUGCAACUAAAUGGGCUUGCCGGAUGACCGAACAACUUCACUUCUUCCAUCUCGAUCGACCGGCACCUAAUUUGACUCUCCGUCCUUUUCUAGCUGUAGACUGCACCUGGAGUAACGUUCAAUGCAUUGUAUAGGGGAAAGAUUGUGAGAAGUUCCUUAGCGACCAAGGACAAGGAAUUGCUAGUAUUCUAGUAGUAUUAAUUUAAUUGGCUGACCAUCGCGAUCUCAUGAGUAUCCGUCAACGGAAGGUGAUGGCAAAAUCCGGGGAACAUUCAAUGCAUUAUUAUUGAAGGAAGGAGACAUUUAGCAUCCAUUUUUUAAGUUGUCGAGUCAUUAUUGAAUAGGUGGCAGCAGCCAGCCAAGACUGAAGAGAACAAGUCCCAAAUCCAUUUUAUACUUGCACUUAUUUUAUCCGAAGCACAUCUCUGACUCUGAGGGUGAUAUCAUAUUUUCUUCACCAUUCGAGUCUGUAACAUAUAUACACAUUUAGGAUUGGCAUCCAAGCUGCAGGCGCAGCAUUUGCUUAAUGCAUAAGCUGGCGAAAAGUCAUGGCGGACUUCUAGAAGGUGCAGCCCCCCUUAAAAAUUUGACGAGGCUAGAUGCCUCAUUAAGCUUAACAUCAAUUCUUAAUUAUUGAAUAAGUUGAUGAUGUGGCUUCCCAAUGGGUUUCGAUCCACGUCAGUUUUUUUCCUCUUGGUUUGCCCUCUCCUUUUCUUGUUAUCUCAAACCAUGUCCGUUUCAGAGGUAACGUGACCCAUGCAAUGACCUCACCCUCCAAAACACAACACCCAAAAAAGAAAAAAGAAAAAAAAAAGGAAGCAAUCUCCAGCUUACUUGAUUGCCAAUUCCAUACGUUGAUUUGUGGAGAGGCCCCAUCCUGGGCUUAUACACGUGACAACCCGGAAAGGCCGGAGCUGAGCUUGGACCCCAGGACCAUAGGAGCCAUCCUGAGGCACACCGCCGCUAGGGCUCCCCGGGGGUCCAGAGAACGAUCCCGCAGAGGGCGGGAGGAAUCCCCCUCAACGCGGGAUUGAGGCUAUACCGGAGAUAUCCCAAAACGUACGGAGGUCGGACUCUCGAGCAGGUAUAAAUAAUAACGCACCCCAGCGGCAUAAGAUACGCUCAUUAUUGGCAAAACACUCCCAACAGUUUUACUUCCAGUAAAUUCCCCUCACCGGAAAACUAACUUGACCGUCAGAGUGUCCUCGGGGACAACUUCGGAGCUCUCCUGUCAGUCACCCUAGAAUCCACUUUCAGUUUGUUUUGCAUGAUUGGGACACGCUCUCCUCAUCAACACGCCGAGCUCAUUAGGUCAGCUCGGUCCGAAGAAGCUCAACGCUUCUUCAAUUUGCAUCAUAUCUUUUACUUGGUUGCCAAUUCUAUACGUUGAUAUGUAUAGCUGGAGAUGUUGGUCUGAUGAACUAUUUCUCUGCAUCAAAGGAAUUAAUUACUCUUUGGUGAGCUUUGACAUGUUCGAGUUUGAAACUUGUGCAGCUUUACCAAAAGAUAUACUAUUCCUUUAGUAAAACUAAUCCUCCAAUCGGUGGAGGUGGCCUGUCUCUGAAUUUUGGUCAAUCGUUUCUCCUGAAAGAGACACCUUCAGCGUCCGUCAUCUUCCUUCAUUAUAAAAAAUUUUUGGAGGUUCAAUUGAGCAGGCCCAGACCACUCAAAUUUUACUGGGCUCGGUCUGUCUUUGAUUUAAUUAUCAGUUGGGCCCUCAAGUUACUCAUAACAUUUUACGACUACAAAGGAAUAGCUAUUAGUGCAAUUCGGCUAGGCCCUUCCAGUAGAUCCCAGACACGGAGAGAGACACAAAGGGCAAAAAAAAAAAAAAAAAGUCGGAAAUUCAGAAAAGAAGCGAGAUUUCACCAUCAGAAAAUGAAUUUCAAACUAAAAAGCAUGCACGUAAUUUUUUUUCUCUACCAAAAGAUACUAAAAAAAAAAAAAAAGAGGCAAAAUUCUACAGAAUUGUGAUAAAUGUGCUGCAAUGUUACUUUAAUAAGGGUUUCUCUUUAGGCAGGGAAUAAAGAGAGCCUACUUUUGAGCUUUAACAACGUUAUGAAUACGAUUUUGUCUUUGGCGUGGCGGUUGUUCAAAAUCAACAAUCAAAUUUGGUUAGGUCAUUACUGCUUGGACACUAGCCGUUACGGGGAACCAUCUUUUGCAUUCUGCGCUUUUCAGCAUUAGUUCGAACCAACGCCACUAACCACAGACUCUACCGCAUAUAGGAAAUCUAUAGGAAACCUUACAAGUAAAGUCACCAAACAUGUGGCACUUUAAAAAAAAAAAAUUCUAUUAUAAAAAAGAGCUCAGAUGGAGAAAUCAAUUUGAGGUUAAUUGGCAUACACAUUGCGAAUCUAUGAUUGUUUGGCUGGUAGAGGAAAAAAUAUAUAUAUCAAUAACAAGCAACGAAAAAUUUGGCAGAAUUUCACCUUAAAAUUUGUCAUUCUGUUCUUUUUUUUUUUUUUUUUUUUUUGUGUAAGAACCUCCAUAAUUCUUUUAAGAUCCAUAAUUUCACAACGCGGACGCUGGGAAUAUGUUUUCACCGACAAUUUAGUUGAUUUCAAACUUCCGUUACUCCAAAAUUCUAAAUCACGCCCAGUGUUACACAGAUCAAGCUUAAUAAAGUAGGCAAUUGAUUGAUUUGGAGAGCACUAUGGUGGGGAAGGGAGUCUUAGGUUGUGUUUGGAUUGCAGAUUUUAGUUGUGCGGGAGGCGAUUUGAUAUAUGUGAGAUAAUCGCUACAGUAAUUCUCACAUAUAUCAAAUCGCUACAGUAAUUUUUUUUUUUACAAAAAGUUCAGAAAAAUGCAAUACAAAGUGCCAAAAUGUAUGAUGCAAUGAUGAGAGAGUGCUAUAGAUAUUCAUUUGUCUAAAGCAUACCAUACAAGUUUUUGGGACGUGAUGGCCUCAUUAAUAAGCAUCAGCAUAUAUGUUUCCUACACUCUCCACCGUUAUUAGGGAGGUUAAUGACUAAGGAGUGAAGGUCGGGGGUUUUUUGUUCCUUCCUUCAAAUGUGGCUUUCACUGACCAAUUUGACCUGACCUAGCCUGAACAACAUUAACCCGUAGGGCAUUGGGUUCCCACAACCGCUUCAAAUGUUCAUAGAAUACAAGAAGAUGAAGCUUUCUUCCUGGUUUUCGGAGCCUCCCUAAUCAGUCGCAUAGAACUGCAUUUCCUGCAAAAAAAGAAAGAAGAAAAGGGGAACGACGGAGCUAUCAGCUAGGGUGUUAAAAGGCCAACAUGGCACCAAGCUUUCACCUGUCUCCUUGUUCCCUCAUUAGGUGUCUUUGCUCAAAUCUUUACUUGCUGUUCUGUUUUGACUCCAUCUGGAGACAACUCCAAAGUGGCCCAAAGCAAUAAGGCAAAACUCGGAGGUUCAUAAUAGUUUAUCUUUGUGCGCCACUUCUCUACCUACGUGCUACUGGAGGAUAUAAUGACAAUAUGAAAAGAAUCAAUUCAAUUGCUCUCAUUCAACAACGAAAGCCCAGUAGUUUUUUCUCCCUAUAAUUUCCUUGCCUUGAUUAUGUGGAAUUUGCUUCUCCAUUUAGUCUUAGAAAGUAGUAGUAACAGCUCAGUUCCUCAACUGCAAAUGUGGAUUGUAAAAUUAGUGAUUGCCUGAUCUAAGUCCUCAAAAUUUUUGCAGCACAACACUUGUCUUUAGGCUCAAACAAACAAAGGUUUUUGUCCUCUGCGCCUUUAAAUACAGAAUAAGCACACCAAAAAUAGAAGAUGCCAUGGAGAAAUACCUUUUAUUUCAUGCUCUCUCUCUCUCUCUCUCGCAGAAAUUAGCACAAAGUAAUUAAUGAAGCCACCGAUACAAGUGAUGUAUACAAAAAUGAACGCGUUUAUCCUGUGCCUAACAGUUGAGAAUGGAAGGGUGUGGAAAGGAGUUGGCGGAAAAAUAUUUUUAAAAAAAAGUGUUUAGCAUUAUUGAUGUAUACAAAAAUACAAGUUAGUAGGAUACGUUUAGUACAUCUUGGGAUAAUUUUAGAAACCUCCCAUUAGGUUUUUGACAUGAUUUCAAAAGUUCACCUCGCCUAUAAUAACAGUUAAUUUAAUCAUUCGUUCUAACCUAUUUGGAUUGUUAUUUUUUCAAGGUUUUUUUUUUUAAAAAAAAAUACGCUGUAGUGAUUUAAUAAAUGUAAGGUAGAAAAAUGAUUGAGAAAUUUGUUCACGAAAAAAGUCAAAAUAUUUUUCGUAGAAAACUACAAUCCAUAUUAUUUCACUUAUAGCGUCAUUAUUAGACAUGAUUAAUAAAAAAUUUUCAUCAUUUGCAAUAAAAAAGUAACAACUUUUGAAAUUUAAUAAAACAAAAAUAUUUUUAUUACUUUAAGAUUCUUAUUAUCAGGUACUAAGAAGAAACACCAGAAUCGAAAUCUCCUCGUGUCCAAUUUCUUUUAAUUGUCAAGUACAUGAAAAAGCUAGUACAGUAUUGGAGUCCUUUUCUAAUGCCAAAUUAAAUUGUCUAAUAUAAUCAAAUAACGGUUAAAUUAGUUUGUAAACGACUCAAUUAUUUUUCAUGUCUGAAUCCUUUUAUUUAUCAAGUACAUCAUUUAUAACUACUUUUGUCUGUCUAGUACAUUAAUACCCAGUAGUUCCCUUUUUAUAUAACAAAUUAGUUGUUUUUUAAAAUUCUAAAUUAUGCUUAAUUUAAUUAGCAAACUUUUUGAUUAUUUCCCUCCACAAAUAUGUGUGAAAAAUCUUAAGUUGUAAGGAUAGUAGAGUCCUUUCAUCCCUAAUGAUGUAAGUAUUGAGUAUCAAAUUGAUGACACAAAAAGGUUAGUGAUAUUUUCAAAACUUCAAGAGCGAUAGUUGAAAUUGUGAGAAACUUCAAUAAAGGUUUCUGAAAUUAUCCCAUGUAAUUAAGCAUGAAUGAAGUGGACCUGGACCUAUCUAGGUUGAUCCGUCCCUUAGAAGUAUCCAUUGACCUUUGUGAUGAUAUUUGUUGCAACCAACUUGUAAUCAGUAGUCUCCUAAAUGGCGACGCAUUUGUCAUAAUUGUGUUAAGAGUUGUCAUAAUUGUGUUAAGAGCCGUUGUCUAAGCAAAAGCCAAUGUGGAGAAAGUGACAGAGAUGCUCCUGAUUUAAGCAAAGUUUAGUGCUUUUUAAGCCCACAGUGGCUCGUUAGACACUUGCCCCUUCUUUGCCCUUCCGAUUCUUUCUUGCUCUGCUUGGUUGCUUGCUUGCUUGCCUGCUUCUGGAGGCAUUUGUUUUGGUUCGCAUCAUUUAAAUACUUCUUUCCCUGUUACUACCAUAUAUCAUGCGCUUCGACCCUUUGACAGCGAGAAAGAGCAGCCUCCUGCUAUAAUCAUUGCCAACUUCACUCCUCUACUCAAGACUCAUCCCCACACAAAACAGAUUUCGUUUUAUUUUUAUUUUUAUUUUCUUUUUCUCGGUUUUUACAAGGUUUUACUUUUACCCCUGAGAAUCAAACAUGGUUGGAGUUGCUACCUUAUGGAUAGAGCUCUCUCAAGCCAAGAGGAAAAAGAGGCCAAUGUACGAUAUCAGCCACAGCUCAAGCAUUAUGCAUUUCUAAAGCAGUCCACAAGAAGCUCAAGAAAGAAGAACCCAUUUUUUCUACUCAAGUAUUGGGCUUCAAAAUCACUGAGUAAUUUGCAUGUUAGACCUAAAAUGUCCAGCUCAUUCCGCAGUGAACGUUUUCAUUUUAAUGGGAUGGUAGUCAACAACUCUGUUUAUUGUGCUUCACCUUGCUCAUCUGAGGGCAAGAUGGAUUCUUCACCCGAGAAGAGGGAGGAAAUGGGAAAUGGAAAUUAUGGGUUUUGUGACAAUGAGCGUAUAGCUGUGGAGGAGUCUGGGGAAAGUAGUUCAAGUUCAUGUUUUCUGGCGUCAGAAGUAACUCUGAACGAUGAAGAACAUAGUACUGAGGAUUCCUCUUCGCCGCCUUCAAUGAUUUGGCCUAUUCAGAAGGAUGAACCACCGCAUUAUUUCAGUUCUCAUGUUUCUGAAGAUGCGCACAAACCCCAUUCUGACACCAGGAAGUUAGAGAAACAAGGGUCAUCACUAUCAGGUAGGAUGCCACCGUGCAAUUUUUGUUUUCCGCUGUAUGGACUGUGUUUGUUGUGCCAUUUUGUCAAUAUUUACUUGUCGAUUCAAGAACUUCGUUUUUACUUAUAUUUGUUGAAACAUUAAUUUGAGCAGAGACUGAAAUGAUGAAAGAAAGAUUUGCCAAAUUGCUGCUCGGGGAGGAUAUGUCUGGAUGUGGAAAUGGGGUUUCUACUUCUCUAGCUAUAUCCAAUGCUAUUACCAAUCUCUGUGGUAUGUCCUCUUGAUCUACCAACUCUUAACAUGAUUGGUUUAAUUUUCUUUGAUCUCAGUUGGUUGUCAUGGUUCGUAAGUAACCCCGCAUUUUCCUUAAUUGUUUAUUGUUUCCACUAGCUACAAUUUUUGGGCAAAUUUGGAGAUUAGAACCUCUUCCUCUUGAGAAGAGAUUAAUGUGGCGAAGAGAAAUGGAAUGGCUUCUUUCUGUUAGUGAUCACAUUGUAGAGCUGAUACCAUCUUUGCAGACAUUUCCAGAUGGAAGCACUCUUGAGGUAAACUCUAAUUUAUCAGUAUCCCUUGACAAAGCCAUAUCAAUUUGCAACCGUCAUGUAUUCUUGUCAGAUAUUGAGUUGAUUUUUUUUUUUUUUCGUGUCAAAAAGAUAUUGAGUUGAUUAGUUCUCUAAAGACUCGCUAAGAUUAUUGGACUCUUGAUGUUGGCUAGGUUAAUUUAAGGGCUAUUACGCAAUUUAGCAAAGCCUAUUCAGGAAUUAUUUAGAAAAUAUUUAUGUACUUUUUGCAGGCAAAUAUGACGAAGCAAAUGGCACAAAAACUCCUUGCUUUGAUCACUAACUCUUUGUUUAGUCAAAAUGGUUAUUCAACCAACUAACAACAGCGUACAUUUCUAGCCACUCAUCUAUAAAAAUGUAUGUAUGGUCCAAAAAUUGUACGUUUUCUGCUAUAGUUGCAUGGCCAUUUUGAUUAAAGAAAAAAACUUAGUUACCGGAGCAGGGAAUCUUAAAUAAUCUAAAGUGUCUCGAUACACUAUGCUCGAUAUAAAAUGAUGUCUAAGCUGCUUUUAUUGAUUCUUGUACAUGUUUGAUGCAGGUUAUGACCUCCAGGCCGCGGUCUGAUCUAUAUGUUAACCUCCCUGCUCUACGUAAAUUAGAUAAUAUGCUUCUCGUAAGGUCCAAAUCUUGCUUUUGGAACGUUGCUGACAAUAUUGAGUGACCUUUUCUAAGUUUUAGCCUCUUCUCACAGGAAAUAUUAGAUAGUUUCAAGAACACAGAAUUCUGGUACGUUGACCAGGGGAUCAUGUCUCUAGAAGAAAACGGAUCAUCCUCAUUCCGGAAUCCCCUCCCCCGUCAAGAGGAGAAAUGGUGGCUGCCAGUGCCUAGAGUCCCCAUAGGUGGCCUCAGUGGGAAUGCAAGAAAACUGUUGCAGCACAGACGUGAUUGUACAAACCAAAUCCUCAAAGCUGCGAUGGCAAUCAACAGCAUUACUUUGGCUGAUAUGGAAGUUCCCGAGUCAUAUUUGGAAGCUCUUCCAAAGGUAUGGCUCCCAAAUUCUAAGUCCAUUUAUAUGAAACAAAAGAUUCUAUGUAUCGCUUACGUAUUCUUCCUUACUUUGCUGACAGAAUGCCAAGUCCAGUUUGGGUGACCUUAUUUAUCGAUACAUCAAUUCAGAUCAAUUUUCGCCGGAGUGUUUGCUCGACUGCCUUGACUUGUCAUCAGAGCAUCAAGCUCUCGAGAUUGCUAACAGAGUGGAGGCGUCAAUUUAUGCCUGGCGUCGUCGAAGUAGCUCAAAACAUUUAAAUAGCACAAAUAAAUCCAAUCCAAAGUCAUCAUGGGAAAUUGUCAAGGAUCUGGUCAUUGAUGCAGACAAGAGAGAGCUGCUUUCAGAGAGAGCCGAAAGCCUGAUGCUUUGCUUGAGACAACGGUUUCCUGGUCUCUCUCAGACGACCUUGGACAUGAGUAAAAUUCAGUAUAACAAGGUUUUCCCUGGCAUUGCACUUCUCAGUACCUAUUAUGUUCACAUUUUUUUCUUCCUUAAUAUCUGUGUUUGUUUUAUCAGAAAAUUUACAAUACCCUUCGCUGAAUCCUUCGUGUAUGCCCCGUUCUUAGGAUGUCGGCAAGGCCAUAUUGGAGAGCUACUCACGGGUAUUGGAGAGUUUGGCAUUCAACAUUGUGGCCCGCAUUGACGACCUAGUUUAUGUGGAUGACUUGACCAAGCAUUCGGAUCAACCUUUUUCUAUGUCGAAGGUCGGUAUGAUUGCUCAUAGGGGUGUUGUUAUCGUGCCUCCCUCAAAUACUCCGUACAAAACAGCUUUUACCACACCAAGCUUCUCACCUGCGCUGCGCCCUAGUCCUGCAACUGUCGAAAGAUCACCAAUUCUUGAAAACAAGCUUCCCCAUCGAGGGUUCGGUGUGAAAAAGGUUUUGACAGAUUAUUUGAGUAUCGAUGCGAAAGGGAAGGACUUGAACAAACAAAAUAUAAGAUCAGAUUCAUCUUCAAGUACAUACCAAGGGUCAUCGGCAUCUCAAUCAUUGGACUGUUCUGAUUUUCCCAGCGAGGUUAAGAGCCCCCUAACACACGAUUCGCCUAGCGAAGAAUGAACGAGAGACUCAGCUUUGAACAAAUUCCUCCAUAUUGUUUUUGACUGAUAAAUAGUGUGUAUUUCAUCCUUGUGUCAAUACAUAUGUCCGAAUGGCGUUAGUUGCUUGUAAGUUCCCAUACAACUUCCCAAGGUGAGGCAUUCUCUGGUCGAACUGGCUCGACCAUCCCUCGAAUUUGGAAGGAUUAGCAUUUGUAUAGACAAUUGCUGAAUUUUUCAUGGUAUUGGCUCCAUGUAAUGCAAUUCUCAGUAAUACUUAAAUACGUUUAAACAUUGCUAGUAGCUCUUACUCGAAAAUUUUAACAAUCUGGCAAUCACUUCACCACGUCACAAACUUUAACCAUCCGGCAUCCGUCGCCUGUUGCCAGCUGCCACCACCCGCAUUCUCAAAGAUCUCAAUUCCCAAAUGAAUGUACAUGGAGAAAUCUAGAGGCAUACUUGACGAUUGAUGCCACAUUAGGGCCUCAAGCUGGUAAUGGGAAGAUUGUACAGCUUCAAUAAUUAGCUAUAGUCACCGUCAAAGUUUUUUUCCAUGCCAUUUGACAAGUUUGUUAUCCUAGUGGCUGCUGAAGUGGCUAUUCUAAGCCGCAAUUUCACAUUGAACAAGAUAUAUAUAUAUAUAUAUAUAUAUAUACAUGUGUGUGUGUGUGCGGUGCUUCCUUGUUUGAUGGACGACGUAAUUGAACGCAUUUGCGCUAGACCUUAGAACCCACAACAGUAAAGGGCAAUUAAUCAGGCCCCUUGCGCACUGGCAGCAGAAGAAGAUACUGUUUCAGACAGGUGCUGCCUUCUGGUGAAGAAAACAGUACUGAAUGAAUCUAAGCUGCCUCUGUGCUGUCUACCCUCCAAUACUGCCAGGAGUCGUGGAUUCGAGCCAGAAAUGCUAUUACCAGUUUACCAUCCAUCCCCAACCGCUACAGUUUCGUCAAUUGUCCUGUGGCCUACAGACGUGGACGUAAGCUCUACGCCAUCUCACUCUCUUGAAUUUCCAUUUUUUGCUUCCGUAUUUAUCAUUGCUGUUUUUCUGAAAGAAUCAUGUGCCUUGAAAGCACAUGAUCAUCAAAUCAAACUGAAAAAGGCUAGCGAGUACCAAUUGCCUUCUGUAACCUUCAACCCCUCAAAACUCCAAAACGGCAUCAGCAAGUACUGAUGAAUUAAUGUAGAUCGCGUUCAAGUUGCAAACAGUUGGUUGCCAAACAAACCAUCAUAUCUUCCUGAGAUGAAGCAAAUCUGUGAAUGGCUUCAUCUAACUGAGAAUCAAAGGCUCCUAAGCUGCUCAAAAUACCGCGGUCCACGCAGACCCAACCACCCCAUCCCCAGCCAGUAAGCUUUCUUUUCCAUUAUCCGAAGGAUAAAUUUCACUAACAACCGACUAAAGAUUAUCUCCAGUAGGCGGUCUAUCUGCUAGUAAUCCCUGGUUCCCAUCCCACAACCUUAUCAAACAGACCAAACAAACAGGUGAGCACGAGACCUUCUGACAAAUUGUUGCCGAUCAUGAUAAGAUCGUAUUGCGUUGGACUCUAAACAUGCCACAGCAGUCUACUGAAGUAGGCGCGCAACAUGGAUUGUUGGUGGACCGCUACGCCCGCCGAUGAUUUAUUCUACUCCCCGGAGGCAUGUCGCUGUCCUUUUAGUUCCUCUGUCGGUGUUGGGUGGCAAACGACAAUCAACCGCCGUCCAACGGGAAUCGAACGGUUUCAAACUCGUAGAGGAAUUAAAUCACACAGAUCGAAUUUGAAACGGGUAGAUAUUUUCUUCUUUUUUUUUUAAUCAAACGCACCGCCAACUACCGACCAAAUGUCUACUUACGAAACGGCCAGCAUUGAUUCUUUUUCAGGACAAUGGUUAAACUCACACAAAGGGAAUCACGGCCAUUUUUAUAGAAAGAUGUAAUGGUAAUCAGCCCUGAAAAGUAAGCUCACUUAAAGUCUUUAGCACAUACACUGACUGUUUAUGAUAAAAGAUCUAUAACCACUGCCACUAUACUGACUACUAUUACAGUUGAUAAUUCUGAUUUCUACUGCCAUGGCAGCAACUGAGUAACUGGCCCUUAGCUAUCUACCGUUUCCCAUAUUACAAAGUGGGGGAAAUGGCAGUAUCCUAAUAACCUCCAGCUUCCUGCGCCCU
RNAcentral lists this long non-coding RNA (31375 nucleotides) under Coffea arabica (coffee). Its description in RNAcentral is "long non-coding RNA (CARA_LNC003943)". Lineage: Eukaryota; Viridiplantae; Streptophyta; Magnoliopsida; Gentianales; Rubiaceae. The record is from RNAcentral.